RNAcentral lists this unclassified non-coding RNA (20 nucleotides) under Mus musculus (house mouse). RNAcentral's name for it is "oocyte_clustered_small_RNA11031". Lineage: Eukaryota; Metazoa; Chordata; Mammalia; Rodentia; Muridae. The record is from RNAcentral.
UCGUGGCGUGGCAAGAGCCU